AUAACGACUCUCGGCAACGGAUAUCUCGGCUCUCGCAUCGAUGAAGAACGUAGCGAAAUGCGAUACUUGGUGUGAAUUGCAGAAUCCCGUGAACCAUCGAGUCUUUGAACGCAAGUUGCGCCCGAAGCCAUCUGGUUGAAGGCAYGUCUGCCUGGGCGUCACGC
Molecule: ribosomal RNA, 164 nt
Filed under: Streptocarpus ionanthus
Lineage: Eukaryota; Viridiplantae; Streptophyta; Magnoliopsida; Lamiales; Gesneriaceae
Description: 5.8S ribosomal RNA
Rfam family: 5.8S ribosomal RNA
About the family: 5.8S ribosomal RNA (5.8S rRNA) is a component of the large subunit of the eukaryotic ribosome. It is transcribed by RNA polymerase I as part of the 45S precursor that also contains 18S and 28S rRNA. Functionally, it is thought that 5.8S rRNA may be involved in ribosome translocation.
Source: RNAcentral